This 39-nucleotide transfer RNA is filed under the name Chrysuronia brevirostris. Its description in RNAcentral is "partial tRNA-Leu". Lineage: Eukaryota; Metazoa; Chordata; Aves; Apodiformes; Trochilidae. The record is from RNAcentral. RNAcentral also lists the same sequence under 1 other name.
AACUUUUAAAGGAUAACAGUCAAUCCACUGGUCUUAGGA